RNAcentral lists this ribosomal RNA (402 nucleotides) under uncultured bacterium. RNAcentral's name for it is "bacterial SSU rRNA". It matches the Rfam family "Bacterial small subunit ribosomal RNA", at positions 355 to 754 of the family's 1533-position model. The record is from RNAcentral.
UAAGGAAUAUUGGUCAAUGGAGGGAACUCUGAACCAGCCAUGCCGCGUGAAGGAUGACGGCCCUCUGGGUUGUAAACUUCUUUUGGAUGGGGCGAAAAAACGGGAUUUAUCCUGGACUGACGGUACCAUCAGAAUAAGCACCGGCUAACUCCGUGCCAGCAGCCGCGGUAAUACGGAGGGUGCAAGCGUUAUCCGGAAUCACUGGGUUUAAAGGGUGCGUAGGCGGUUGUAUAAGUCAGGGGUGAAAGCACGCAGCUUAACUGUGUAAUUGCCUUUGAUACUGUACGGCUUGAAUAGGGUUGAGGUUGGCGGAAUGUGACAUGUAGCGGUGAAAUGCAUAGAUAUGUCAUAGAACACCGAUUGCGAAGGCAGCUGACUGGGCCUAUAUUGACGUGUGAGCAA